Long non-coding RNA from Capra hircus (goat), 2146 nucleotides. The record is from Ensembl. Lineage: Eukaryota; Metazoa; Chordata; Mammalia; Artiodactyla; Bovidae.
CCCUGAAGGAGGGCAUGGCAAACCACUCCAGUUAUUCUUGCCUGGAGAAUCCCCAUGGACAGAGAAGCGUGGCGGGCUACAGUCUUUGGGGUCGCAGAGUUGGACACGACUGAGCGACUAAGCACAGCACCCGCAUACACAUACACAUCCUUAAACCUGGGAUGUUUUAGCAUCCUCCUCCUCAGUCCUUGGUGCUUCUUAAUAGGCAGCUAGGCAGCAUGAGGUUCAGACUCACUUGUGCUGUGCUUAGUCACUCAGUAGUGUCUGGUUCUUUGUGACCCCAUGGACUGUAGCCUGCUAGGCUCCUCUGUCCAUGAGAUUGUCCAGGCAAGAACACUGGAGUGGGUUGCCAUUUCCUUCUCCAGGGUCAUACUCUCUUGCUGCUGCUGCUGCUGCUGCUAAGUCGCUUCAGUCGUGUCCAACUCUGUGCGACCCCAUAGAUGGCAGCCCACCAGGCUCCCCCGUCCCUGGGAUUCUCCAGGCAAGAACACUGGAGUGGGUUGCCAUUUCCUUCUCCAAUGCAGGAAAGUGAAAAGUGAAAGUGAAGUCGCUCAGUUGUGUCCGACUCUUAGUGACGCCAUGGACUGCAGGCUCCUCCGUCCAUGCGAUUUUCCAGGCAAGAGUACUGGAGUGGGGUGCCUUUGCCUUCUCCACAUACUCUUAGCUGUGUGCAUAUUUGAAUGUGGAAACACCCCUAACAAGCUACCUACCACCAGGGGGCGCUCGAUACCUUGCGGUUGCGGAAGACCGGAAACGACGGAAAAGAGGGUGAGGGCUGACAAAGGAGAGAGAUCAGCCUACCAGCAUGAAGGCUUCCGGAAGGUGAGAAGCAGCUCAUCACACCCUCCGUUAAGUUCCCUGGAGACCUUCAGCAUACUUUGGAUGAAUGGACUGGCCCAAGCACUUCAUAAGUUUAAGAGACUUUUGAGCCAAAAGGAGAAGAGUAAAUUACACCCUGUCACCAAUUACAAGGAUGCCUCCCUCAUAGCUCAGCAGGUAAAGAAUCUGCCUGCAAUGCAGGAGACCUUGCUUUGAUCCCUGGGUUAGGAAGAUCCCCUGGAGAAGGGAAAUGCUACCCACUCCAGUAUUCUGGCCUGGAGAAUUCCAUGGACUGUAUAGUCCAUGGGGUUGCAAAGAGUUGGACAGGACUGAGCAACAUUCACAUUCACAUCACUUCACUUCACAGUGAUUAAAAGUUACAACCACCAGGAGGAGAAAAGAGAGUCAAUGUGUCUCCCAAAUUUCCAGAAAACCAGAAUGCUGUUUUCAGAUUAGACUCUAGUUUUCUCAUGUUGACUUCUGUCUCUGUCUGUUUUAUUGAUUGGUUGGUUGGUUUCUUCUCAAAUGGUCUUGCCACCUGUCCAUCCUAGAGAAUGAAGUUGCCUCUUAUCAAUUGGUAUGUGUAGCUGCUGGGCAUGAGAGCAGUUCCAGAAACAUUGAUUUGUUUGACCAUUGCUGAUUCUUUUGAGUACAGAAACAACUUUAUAUUAAAAAAUCAUAUUAAAUGAUAUGCAUGUCAACAGCAAAAUUGUAGAUAUUUAUAGUAUGUCUUUUUUAAAUUUUGCAUCAUAUAGGUAUUUAUUAUACUAUUGUUACCUCUGUAACAAUGUGGUUGAAGUAGAUCUCAUCUUUAAAUGAGUAAAUAACCCAGAGGUAAUAUAUCCUAGUGGUUAAGAGUAUACAGCUUGGCAUCAGAGACCUGGAUUCCUGACUUGGUCCUUGCUAUGACUCAGCUGUAAAGUAUGGGGAGUACCAAUAUCUGUUUCAUAAGGCUGUUCUGAAGAAGAGGAAAUGAGAUGAUGCAUGUAAACGUCUUGACACAGUUUUUGGCAUCAGUAAGUGCUUGAUAAAUGUUAUAUUUUCUUCUUAAUAUGAUGACAGCUUGAAAGGGUCAGCUGUGCCAAUUAAGAAAUACCAAUGCCUAAUGUAUGGUGAUGGCAAGAAGACAAUAAUUAUUAGUUGAGGACCUACUAUGAUCAAGGUGCCAUGCAAAACAAAAGUGCAAGACACAUUCCAUAGUCAAGGAGUUUGUGAUGUCAUUAGGAAGCUAAUGGAAAAUUAGCUGAUAGGAAUAAUUGUAAUACAUAGCGGAGCUAUAUGUAACCUUGUUCUGUAUUUUCCAAGUCUCCUGUAAAUAUGUUCUUGU